Molecule: ribosomal RNA, 467 nt
Filed under: uncultured bacterium
Lineage: Bacteria
Description: partial 16S ribosomal RNA
Rfam family: Bacterial small subunit ribosomal RNA
Source: RNAcentral
GACGAACGCUGGCGGCGUGCUUAACACAUGCAAGUCGAACGGAAAGGCCCUGCUUUUGUGGGGUGCUCGAGUGGCGAACGGGUGAGUAACACGUGAGUAACCUGCCCUUGACUUUGGGAUAACUUCAGGAAACUGGGGCUAAUACCGGAUAGGAGCUCCUGCUGCAUGGUGGGGGUUGGAAAGUUUCGGCGGUUGGGGAUGGACUCGCGGCUUAUCAGCUUGUUGGUGGGGUAGUGGCUUACCAAGGCUUUGACGGGUAGCCGGCCUGAGAGGGUGACCGGCCACAUUGGGACUGAGAUACGGCCCAGACCCCUACGGGGGGCAGCAGUGGGGAAUUUUGCACAAUGGGGGGAAGCCUGAUGCAGAAACGCCGCGGGGGGGAUGACGGCCUUGGGGUUGUAAACCGCUUUCCCCUGUGACGAAGCGGGAGUGACGGUAAUGGGUAAAGAAGCACCGGCUAACUACGU